UGGGGAAUCUUGGACAAUGGGCGAAAGCCUGAUCCAGCCAUGCCGCGUGAGUGAAGAAGGCCCUAGGGUUGUAAAACUCUUUCAGCGGGGAAGAUAAUGACGGUACCCGCAGAAGAAGCCCCGGCUAACUUCGUGCCAGCAGCCGCGGUAAUACGAAGGGGGCUAGCGUUGUUCGGAAUUACUGGGCGUAAAGCGCGCGUAGGCGGACUGGUCAGUCAGGGGUGAAAUCCCGGGGCUCAACCUCGGAACUGCCUUUGAUACUGCCAGUCUCGAGUCCGGAAGAGGUGAGUGGAAUUCCUAGUGUAGAGGUGAAAUUCGUAGAUAUUAGGAAGAACACCGGUGGCGAAGGCGGCUCACUGGUCCGGUACUGACGCUGAGGCGCGAAAGCGUGGGGAGCAAACAGGAUUAGAUACCCCCGUAGUCC
This 424-nucleotide ribosomal RNA is filed under the name uncultured prokaryote. Its description in RNAcentral is "bacterial SSU rRNA". It matches the Rfam family "Bacterial small subunit ribosomal RNA", at positions 355 to 796 of the family's 1533-position model. The record is from RNAcentral.